CGCGCAGGCGGUCGGAUAAGUCGAAUGUGAAAGCCCCCGGCUCAACUGGGGAGGGUCAUUCGAUACUGUUCGACUGGAAGGCAGGAGAGGGAAGCGGAAUUCCCGGUGUAGUGGUGAAAUGCGUAGAUAUCGGGAGGAACACCAGUGGCGAAGGCGGCUUCCUGGCCUGUUCUUGACGCUGAGGCGCGAAAGCUAGGGGAGCAAACGGGAUUAGAUACCCCGGUAGUCCUAGCCGUAAACGAUGGACACUAGGUGUUGGCGGUAUCAACCCCGCCAGUGCCGAAGCUAACGCAUUAAGUGUCCCGCCUGGGGAGUACGGCCGCAAGGCUAAA
RNAcentral lists this ribosomal RNA (332 nucleotides) under uncultured bacterium. RNAcentral describes it as "bacterial SSU rRNA". It matches the Rfam family "Bacterial small subunit ribosomal RNA", at positions 568 to 898 of the family's 1533-position model. The record is from RNAcentral.